Molecule: non-coding RNA, 216 nt
Organism: Pelobates cultripes (western spadefoot toad)
Lineage: Eukaryota; Metazoa; Chordata; Amphibia; Anura; Pelobatidae
Source: the annotation of a GenBank genome assembly
AUGUCUUGCCCGUCUUUUAGGGUAGGUGAAGUGGGCUUUUUGCGCCCCAUGUCUGGUUCUUUAGGGGUUUGUUGGCUGUUUGCCGUAUGCAAGUUACCUCCAGUGUCCAGGAAGCCCCAGUAUGCUGCAUUCAGGUCCUGCGGGAUUCCCGCGCUGUAGGCCCAGUUCCCCGCCGUCGGUUUUUGCCACUCGUGGGGAAAAUGAAUGGCAUCUGCC